AGUGAACGCUGGCGGUAGGCCUAACACAUGCAAGUCGAACGGCAGCACAGUAAGAGCUUGCUCUUACGGGUGGCGAGUGGCGGACGGGUGAGGAAUACAUCGGACUCUACUUUUUCGUGGGGGAUAACGUAGGGAAACUUACGCUAAUACCGCAUACGACCUACGGGUGAAAGCAGGGGAUCUUCGGACCUUGCGCGAUUGAAUGAGCCGAUGUCGGAUUAGCUAGUUGGCGGGGUAAAGGCCCACCAAGGCGACGAUCCGUAGCUGGUCUGAGAGGCUGAUCAGCGACACUGGAACUGGACCACGGUCCAGACUACUGCGGGAGGCAGCAGUGGGGAAUAUUGGACAAUGGGCGCAAGCCUGAUCCAGCCAUACCGCGUGGGUGAAGAAGGCCUUCGGGUUGUAAAGCCCUUUUGUUGGGAAAGAAAAGCAGCAGGUUAAUACCCCGCUGUUCUGACGGUACCCAAAGAAUAAGCACCGGCUAACUUCGUG
RNAcentral lists this ribosomal RNA (492 nucleotides) under uncultured bacterium. RNAcentral's name for it is "partial 16S ribosomal RNA". It matches the Rfam family "Bacterial small subunit ribosomal RNA", at positions 29 to 507 of the family's 1533-position model. The record is from RNAcentral.